AAUAACAAUACAAGGCAGUUAAAAUGCUUUGUAAUUGGAAUGAUAGAAAUUUAAACACUUUUUAAAGUAUCAAUUGGAGGGCAAGUCUGGUGCCAGCAGCCGCGGUAAUUCCAGCUCCAAUAGCGUAUAUUAAAAUUGUUGCAGUUAAAAAGCUCGUAGUUGAAUUUCUGUUAAAAAUAACCGGUCUGCUUUUAAUAAAAGUGGUAUCUUGGUGUGUUUUUAGCAAUAAUGUCCUUUGAAAUGUUUUUUACUUUAUUGUAAUAAAUAAUAUUCAGGAUUUUUACUUUGAGAAAAUUAGAGUGUUUCUAGCAGGCUAACGCUUUGAAUACUGCAGCAUGGAAUAAUAAAAUAGGAUUUUAGUUCUACAUUAUUGGUUUUAAGAACUAAAUUAAUGAUUGAUAGGGACAGUUGGGGGCAUUUGUAUUUAACUGUCAGAGGUGAAAUUCUUAGAUUUGUUAAAGACAAACUACUGCGAAAGCAUUUGCCAAAGAUGUUUCAUUAAUCAGGAA
This 509-nucleotide ribosomal RNA is filed under the name Hepatozoon felis. RNAcentral's name for it is "SSU rRNA". It matches the Rfam family "Eukaryotic small subunit ribosomal RNA", at positions 476 to 983 of the family's 1831-position model. The record is from RNAcentral. Lineage: Eukaryota; Apicomplexa; Hepatozoidae.